Molecule: ribosomal RNA, 482 nt
Filed under: uncultured bacterium
Lineage: Bacteria
Description: bacterial SSU rRNA
Rfam family: Bacterial small subunit ribosomal RNA
Source: RNAcentral
AACGAACGCUGGCGGCAUGCCUAACACAUGCAAGUCGAACGGGAUCCUAGCUUGCUAGGUGAGAGUGGCGGACGGGUGAGUAACACGUGGGAAUCUGCCUUUUGGUUCGGGAUAACCGCGGGAAACUGCGGCUAAUACCGAAUGCCCUCGAGAGAGGAAAGAUUUAUCGCCAGAAGAGGAGCCCGCGUCCGAUUAGGUAGUUGGUGGGGUAAAGCCUACCAAGCCGACGAUCGGUAGCUGGUCUGAGAGGAUGAUCAGCCACACUGGGACUGAGAUACGGCCCAGACUCCUACGGGAGGCAGCAGUGGGGAAUAUUGGACAAUGGGGGCAACCCUGAUCCAGCCAUGCCGCGUGUGUGAAGAAGGCCCUAGGGUUGUAAAGCACUUUCAGUGGGGAGAAAGGUUAUUCACCUAAUACGUGAGUAGAUUGAUGUUACCCACAGAAGAAGCACCGGCUAACUCCGUGCCAGCAGCCGCGGUAAU